Homo sapiens (human) is the source of this 2546-nucleotide long non-coding RNA. RefSeq lists it as uncharacterized. Lineage: Eukaryota; Metazoa; Chordata; Mammalia; Primates; Hominidae. The transcript has 3 exons. The record is from RefSeq and is a predicted model, not a curated record.
ACAAGAGUGAAACUCUGUCUCAAAUAAAUAAAUAAAUAAUAAAAGCAAGCAUUACCAACAAUGUGGGAGAAUAUGAGUGGAGUAUGUAUGUGGUCCCAAAGUUGGGGUAAGUGGGAGUGAGGAACCCCUGUAACUCCCAUCUUCAUUUCUGCCUCUUCUCAUUGCACCAACUUCCCCAACUGAAACACCUUAUACUGAUAAUAUCCCUUCCUGGUUUGAUUCAUAAAACAAAAUAAAGUUUCUCCAGUGCUUGGCAUAUUCAUCAAGACAUCAGCCCCAGCAUUUACAUUUUAGUGCUUCCCUUUCUUUACUUGAUUUCCAGUCUCUCUCUCUCCCUCUGUCUCUCUCUCUCUCUCUCUCUCUCUCUCUCUCUCUCUGUCUGUCUGUCUCUCUCUCACACACACACACGCAGGCUGAUUGGUCUUUGAUUUUCAGUAGAAAUUGUUGGUAUUUGUAGCUGUGCUUGAUCACAUAGGUGAAAAGAUAUACUUACAGAAUAAGAACUACCCUAUGACCGUCCUUCUUUCAUGUUGCUUAAAGCUAUACUUCAAAGGAAUACAGCACCACUUUAAGGAAAGACUCAGGCCUGAGGACCUAGAAGCCCAAGUUCCAAGUUUUGGGGCUGAGCUCUGUUACUAACUUCAGUCUGACCUUGGACAAGUUUCUUGUCUCUGUGAUCACAUUCCAUCUUUAUUAGAGGAUUUUGAGGAUUCCUUCUAUUUCUGACAUGAAAUAAUUUUAAACAGACUUGUUCCUUAGAUGCUCUUUUAGAACAUCUCUGAACCUUCCCAAUUUAAAAAAAUAACUUGUUUGAGGUGGCUUCUCUCUGUUCAUCAAACAUCUUUGCUUCCAUUCCUUAUAUAGGUCCAACCCAAGAGACAACACCUGUAGGAGGGCCUCGUCCCACAGUUUUCUUGUCACCAGCACUGCUUUUGAUCCAGUCAACUUGACUGAGAUUUCUUUCCUGGGUUCUGUGCUUCAGAGGACCCUACUCUGGAUCCCCUCUGGUACCCACUCUCCCCACAGAGUAAUAGGUCUGUAUGGCCAAGGGGAUUGUUCCACCUGGAACCUCCUUCCCUCUUCUAAAUAAAGUUCCCCUUACUCAGGAAACCCAUAGUUCCCUUGCUGUGAAGUCUGAACCUGCUUCCAGGGGUUGCUUGAGCUUCUGCCCUUCUCUUGUCUUUUUAGGGGUGGAUUAUACUGCCCAAAAUGUGGUCAAGGGGCAGCUGUGUAUGGUGUUUGGAGUUGUGGAUAGAGCUUGGAUAUGUGGGGUAGAGUCUGAGCACUUACAAGUCUCUGUGAGGUCAGUAUGGACAGAAGGGUGGGUGUUCCAUUGGAGCAGGGUGAGAAAUAUCCAUUGGCACAUUCCCAUUAAGCUCACAAAUGUUGAGAAUGAGCCUACUUGUGAGAUACACAAUUUUGCAAAGAGAGAUAUAGAGCAGUCAAGAAAAGUGGCUCUUCAAAGGUUCUAUGAGUUACCUGUGGCCACAUAGGAGGACCCCUCUGUCUGAAGCGAGUGCGCAGUAAAAAGAGGAUGACUCAUCUUUGGCUCUAGCUAGAUUAAAAUUCUGGACACAAAGGUUAACAUGAAUGACUUCUUUUUGGUUUAAGUGAAAAAAGAUAUUCGUUCCUGCAAAAUGUAACCUUAGCCAAGGACCUUAGAGAUGGCUUGCUCUCCUGAGCAGGGACAGGAAUUCCUGUCCUAAAGUUGGAUGACAUCUGGCUGGAACCAUAAGAUGUGUGCUGUGACAGAAACCAGAGCAGCUGGCAAUCUGGGAACUGGAACUGUCUUCGUCGAUUUUGAAUAUUUGGUCACCUUAUCUGAGAUUACCCAUAAACUCACUUUUUUUAAGUCUCUCUGAAGGCAGCUUUUAUUGUGUAAUUUAAAAAGAAUUUUUUUAUGUUUUUUAAUGAUCUGGGUUAAUUUUAAACAAGGAUUUAUGAAAUGUGAGCUGGUGCCAGGAAAACGUGGAUCAAUUGUUGCUUCCCUAGAGGAAAUAGUGGUCUUUUAAUAAUAGAUCUUAAUAAAGUGUCUAUAUUUCUUUUAGGACUUAAAAAAUAGACAAAGCAAAAUAUGGGUUAAGUAAGGUUUUGUGGUUUGCUUGAAAACUAAAUUGUACAUGGCCUGAAUAAGAAAAAAAAAAGUUCUAAUUAGACUCUUGGUUCUAGCAAGUAGAUACUCAUUUAGAUGUCCUUAAGAAAAGGUGUUAAUUAUAUGAGUAUCAUAUCACUUAGGAUUAACAUUGGCUAUAUGUGACAGACAUCCAAAACAGUGGUGGCUUAAAUUAGAUAGUACUUAUCUUUCUUGUAAAACUCCAGAGAUAGGCAGUCCGGAACUGGCCUGGCUCCACGUCAAUGGACCAGCAUACUUUUCUGCUGCAGACUACUAGGAUUUCGGUCAAUACAUAGAAAAUCUAGCCAACCGAAAGGAAAGGGGAGGAUAAAUGGAAUUUCCCCUUCCUUUAAAGAUGUGUCUAGGAAAUUGCAUACCCCACUUCCUCUGACAGCACAUUAAACAGAAUAUAAUCAAAUGGCAGAGCUUACCU